This 311-nucleotide ribosomal RNA is filed under the name uncultured bacterium. Its description in RNAcentral is "bacterial SSU rRNA". It matches the Rfam family "Bacterial small subunit ribosomal RNA", at positions 28 to 334 of the family's 1533-position model. The record is from RNAcentral.
GACGAACGCUGGCGGCGUGCUUAACACAUGCAAGUCGAACGCUGAAGCUCUGCCCUUGUGGUGGGGUGGAUGAGUGGCGAACGGGUGGGUAACACGUGGGUAAUCUGCCCCAUACUCUGGGAUAACCCCUGGAAACGGGGGCUAAUACCGGAUAGGACAUUCUGCCGCAUGGUGGGGUGUGGAAAGUUCCGGCGGUAUGGGAUGGGCCCGCGGCCUAUCAGCUUGUUGGUGGGGUAAUGGCCUACCAAGGCGACGACGGGUAGCCGGCCUGAGAGGGUGACCGGCCACACUGGGACUGAGACACGGCCCAG